GCUUACGGCCAAACCGCCUGGUUAACGCCCCGAUCUCGUUUGAUCUCGGAAGUUAAGAUAGGUUGGGCCUGGUUAGUACUUGGAUGGGAGACCGCCUGGGAUUACCAGGUGCUGUAAACU
Scophthalmus maximus (turbot) is the source of this 120-nucleotide ribosomal RNA. The record is from Ensembl. NCBI's taxonomy places the organism in Eukaryota, Metazoa, Chordata, Actinopteri, Pleuronectiformes, Scophthalmidae.